UGAGGAAUAUUGGUCAAUGGACGAGAGUCUGAACCAGCCAAGUAGCGUGCAGGAUGACGGCCCUAUGGGUUGUAAACUGCUUUUGUUUGGGAAUAAUCGACAUUACGUGUAAUGUUUUGCAUGUACCAUUCGAAUAAGGACCGGCUAAUUCCGUGCCAGCAGCCGCGGUAAUACGGAAGGUCCAGGCGUUAUCCGGAUUUAUUGGGUUUAAAGGGAGUGUAGGCGGUUGGUUAAGCGUGUUGUGAAAUGUAGAUGCUCAACAUCUGACUUGCAGCGCGAACUGGCUGACUUAAAUACACACAACGUAGGCGGAAUUCAUGGUGUAGCGGUGAAAUGCUUAGAUAUCAUGAAGAACUCCGAUUGCGAAGGCAGCUUACGGGAGUGUUACUGACGCUUAAGCUCGAAGGUGCGGGUAUCGAACAGG
RNAcentral lists this ribosomal RNA (424 nucleotides) under Verrucomicrobiota bacterium. RNAcentral describes it as "Verrucomicrobia bacterium partial 16S ribosomal RNA". It matches the Rfam family "Bacterial small subunit ribosomal RNA", at positions 355 to 776 of the family's 1533-position model. Lineage: Bacteria; Pseudomonadati; Verrucomicrobiota. The record is from RNAcentral.